This 252-nucleotide ribosomal RNA is filed under the name uncultured bacterium. RNAcentral's name for it is "partial 16S ribosomal RNA". It matches the Rfam family "Bacterial small subunit ribosomal RNA", at positions 524 to 776 of the family's 1533-position model. The record is from RNAcentral.
UACGUAGGGGGCAAGCGUUGUCCGGAUUUAUUGGGCGUAAAGAGCGUGUAGGCGGUUUUACAGGUCCGCUGUGAAAACUCGAGCUCAACCUCGAGACGCCGGUGGAAACCAUCUAGCUAGAGUCCGGAAGAGGAGAGUGGAAUUCCUGGUGUAGCGGUGAAAUGCGCAGAUAUCAGGAAGAACACCCGUGGCGAAGGCGGCUCUCUGGGACGUGACUGACGCUGAGACGCGAAAGCGUGGGGAGCGAACAGG